RNAcentral lists this long non-coding RNA (2952 nucleotides) under Marmota monax (woodchuck). Lineage: Eukaryota; Metazoa; Chordata; Mammalia; Rodentia; Sciuridae. The record is from RNAcentral.
AUUAUUUCGUAGCUCACUGUAGCUCUUCAAUAUAUAACCUUUAUUAAUCUGGAUUUCCUUCUAUUCCUGGCUUGUUGGUAGAGUUUAAUAUAUCCUUCCUUUCAAAAUCUUCUAAUGCUUUUUUAUGUCAACCAAGAUGCAUAUGAUACUUCUUCCCUAGUAUCUUAUUGUUAAGUAUACAGAUAAAUUUCCAAACUUUAAUGCAUCUUUACAUUAUUAAGGUGAACCCUUCUUACCCAUAUGCAUUCUUAGGGUAUGUCUGUGUGUACACUUGUGUAUUUAACUCCUUCUGAAUUCAUUUUGUUAAUAUCUUAAAUAGAUUCUUACUGUCUAGGCAUAAUCCCUCUUUUUGUCCCUCGAACAACUUGUAUAAAUGAGGCAUGACUUAUUUCUUAAUAGAUUCCUAGAACAUUUUAUUUGUGUGUGUGGUGCUGGGGAUUGAACCCAGGCUCUUGUGCAUGUGAGGCAAACAGUCUACCAACUGAGCUGUAUCCCCAGCCCAGCUUAUGAGAACUUUUACAACUAAAAACUUACUGGACCUAAUGCUUUUAAGGAUAGAGAUUUUGAAUUACCAUUUUAAUUACUUCAGUGAUUAUUUGUCUUUAUUUUCUGUUCUAAUAUUCACAAAUUAACUUUAUUGAGGCUUUCUAAUGAUUUAACAGAGACUUACAAAUCCAUCACAACCUUAUUUUUUUUGUUUCAUUUUAUUUUUUUGAGGGUAGCUGUCCAAUUCAUUUGUGCUCUUGUGUUAGUAAGUUUUACAUCUCUGUAACCAAGAUACCCAACAAGAGUAACUUACGGAAGGAAAAGUUUAUUUUGGCUCAGUUGUAUAGGUUCAGAUCAUGGUGGGUAGAAUGCUUUUCACUGGAUUCCAGGUAAGGCAAGAAAUCAUGGUAGUGGAAGAGAGCUACUCACUCCUGGUGUCCAAGAAGCAGAGAGAGAAGGAAGAUCCAUGGGGACAAGAGAAUUCCCACCACCUUCAGGCCAGGGCCCCAGGCCUCCUACAUACAUGCACCACCAUCCUAGUCAUCACCUAGCACAGUAGUCCCUUCUAAUUAGGAUGGACUGACUAGGUUAUACCUCUUGUCAUCAAAUCAUUUCACCUCCUGCAUCAGUAAAGGAGGUUUUGGGAGCUUUGGAGAGAUAAUUCACACCCAAAAGUAAUUGCUGUCUUAUUUAUUUCAUUCUUACCUACUAUAAUUUGCUCUUUUUCUAGCUUCUGGAAUGCUUAGAUCACUGGUUUGCAGAUUUUUUUUUUUUUUUCUUUUUGUAGUUUUGGUUUUAGUACGAAUUUGUGUUGCAUAAGUUUUGACCUAUAUUGCAGUGUCAUGCAGAGUGGUUUCCCUUCUCUAAAACUUCUUAGUGCUCCCCUUGCACCUGUAGCAACCAUUGAACUUUAUACUGUCUCUUGUUUUGCCUUUUCCAGAAUGUCACAUAGUUGGAAACAUAUGUACCUAUUAAAUAAUAAUUUCUUUUAUUUAGUAACAUGCAUUUAAGUUUCCUCCAUGCCUUUUUAUGCCUUGAUAGAUCCUUUCUUAUUAACACUGAAUGGUAUUUUAUUUAAAUGACAUUUUAUUUAAAUGUUAAUUUAUUUUUUUAAACAAUCCAUCAAACCGUCUUCCAAAGUGGCCAUGGUUGCAGUGAAUGAAAAAGAGUUCCUGGUUGCAGUGAAUGAAAAUUCAUUCUCACCAGUGUUUGACAUUAUCAGUGUUUAGGAUUGGGGGGAGUUUCCUAAUUGUGAUGUGUCUGUUUUUUCAGUUCAUUUGCCUGUUUUUUUUAAGUGGGUUGAUUUCUUAUUCUUGGAUUUUAAAAUUUCUGUGUAUUUUAGAUACCGGUUCUUUAUGAGAUGUCUUUGGCAGAUAUUUUCUCCCAGUCGCUGUGUCAUGUCUUCUCAGUCUUAUUAGUUUUUAACAGAACAGAAAUUUUUUUCAACCAAUCAACUUAGUUCAUGGAUUGUUCUUUGGGUGGGGGUCGUUAUAAGCUAUAUUUUUUGUAUUAUGAUCAGAAAGCACAGGUCAGAAAGAUUUUUUUAUUAAAGUUUCAUUCUAUAUUCUUAUUCAAGGGUAGUUUUUAGAAAUAGUCUGUGUGUAAUUAAUUUAGAAGUUGUUUUAUAAAACCUGUACCUUGGCAUAUCUUUCAUCUGUUUGAUCUACUGAAGGAAAUGGGUGGUUUACAGCCUUUUACUGGAAAAGUUAUCUCUUUUCUCUGGUAUUUUUCUGUUGCUCUGAGUAUUUCAAGGCUGAAUUGCCAUAUGCAUAUGUGUUAAGGGUAACUCUUCUGAACUAUUACAUUUUAUCAGUAUACUGUAUACUUUUCCAUGUGGUUUUUGCUUUAAAUUUUAUUUAAGUGGGACAAAGAACUACUCCUAGGUGUUUUUAUUUCUAUUUGUAUCAUAAAAACUUAUUGUGAGUAGAGUGGUUUUUUUCUCAUUUUAGUUUCAACCUUAUUACACUUUAUUCAAAGAUUUUUAUUUAUUUAUAAUUAUUAACAUAAUAAGAUUCCUUUAUUAAUUACAGUAGCUUAAGUAGAUUUCAAUUAAAUUUUUUUUUAAAGAAAGAGAGAGAAGGAGAGAGAGAGAAUUUUAAUAUUUAUUUUUUAGUUAUUGGCGGACACAACAUCUUUGUUUGUAUGUGGUGCUGAGGAUCGAACCCAGGCCUCACGCAUGCCAGGCGAGCGCGCUACUGCUUGAGCCACAUCCCCAGCCCAUCAAUUAAAUUUUAUAUGAACACAUCCACACACUCUUAAGUCAGGAGAAGUUCCUCUCCUUCCUAAUUGCCAUGCUAAAAUAAUAGUAAUUUGCAGAUGAGGAUUUUAAUGGAAGUGGCUUUAGUGUAAUAUUUGUUUUUAAUAAAUUGCCUUUAUCUCUUAAAAUUUAUUUGAUCAUUUUAUUAUUACUAUUACUUGAUAACUCAGUUUGCAGUGUGUGAUUUUAUUGCACCAAGAGUAUUUUAG